UUUUUGGGGAUAGAGGGACUUGAACCCUCACGAUUUUGAAAGUCGACGGA
This 50-nucleotide transfer RNA is filed under the name Aphelandra boyacensis. RNAcentral describes it as "partial tRNA-Leu". RNAcentral also lists the same sequence under 2 other names. Lineage: Eukaryota; Viridiplantae; Streptophyta; Magnoliopsida; Lamiales; Acanthaceae. The record is from RNAcentral.